GGGGCUGUAUGGAAUCGACAGGAAAUGCAGUCUGCAAGUAAGCAUGUCGUAGGAUGAUAGGAUGCUACGUUAAAAACGCUUAUCGAAUUACAAAUGGCAAUACUUCUUUUGCCUUGGCUGCUUAAUCUAAUAGAUUAAAAAGCCUUUUUGCCGCCACUCUGAUACCUGAUAAGGGUCGCCGCAAAUCAUAAAACCUCAGGUUGGUCUGUGCAAAGUCUCGGUGCGUGGGCGAGAUUUAGAGAAUAAGGGAACUUAGGUCGUCAUUCUAUCUCAUGAUCUCCUGACAAUUCAAAGAGUGACUAAACAUGUAGAAAGUUUGUUGACACUUUCUCUGGACGCGGGUUCGAAACCCGCCAGCUCCACUU
RNAcentral lists this transfer-messenger RNA (365 nucleotides) under Saprospiraceae. Its description in RNAcentral is "UBA3362 sp016710235 Standard tmRNA". It matches the Rfam family "transfer-messenger RNA". From Rfam's summary of the family: Bacterial tmRNA, also known as 10Sa RNA or SsrA, is named for its dual tRNA and mRNA-like properties. Its role is to liberate the mRNA from a stalled ribosome. RNAcentral also lists the same sequence under 1 other name. Lineage: Bacteria; Pseudomonadati; Bacteroidota; Saprospiria; Saprospirales. The record is from RNAcentral.